AGACGACAUAGCGCCGAUUUGAGGCUCAGCUUGCGGGGCGCUUUAUAAAUUCUGCUAAAGAGAGCGGGCAAAUCCGCCC
This 79-nucleotide non-coding RNA is filed under the name Oceanibaculum indicum. RNAcentral also lists the same sequence under 1 other name. The record is from RNAcentral. Lineage: Bacteria; Pseudomonadati; Pseudomonadota; Alphaproteobacteria; Rhodospirillales; Oceanibaculaceae.